GACGAACGCUGGCGGCGUGCCUAAUACAUGCAAGUAGAACGCUGAAGCGAGGAGCUUGCUCUUCUUGGCUGAGUUGCGAACGGGUGAGUAACGCGUAGGUAACCUGCCUGGUAGCGGGGGAUAACUAUUGGAAACGAUAGCUAAUACCGCAUAAAAUGGAUUAUCGCAUGAUCAUCCAUUGAAAGGUGCAAAUGCAUCACUACCAGAUGGACCUGCGUUGUAUUAGCUAGUUGGUGGGGUAACGGCUCACCAAGGCGACGAUACAUAGCCGACCUGAGAGGGUGAUCGGCCACGAUGGGACUGAGACACGGCCCAGACUCCUACGGGAGGCAGCAGUAGGGAAUCUUCGGCAAUGGACGGAAGUCUGACCGAGAAACGCCGCGUGAGUGAAGAAGGGUUUCGGAUCGUAAAGCUCGGUUGUAAGAGAAGAACGAGUGUGAGAGUGGAAAGUUCACACUGUGACGGUAUCUGACCAGAAAGGGACGGCUAACUACGUG
Molecule: ribosomal RNA, 497 nt
Filed under: uncultured bacterium
Lineage: Bacteria
Description: partial 16S ribosomal RNA
Rfam family: Bacterial small subunit ribosomal RNA
Source: RNAcentral